Molecule: long non-coding RNA, 427 nt
Filed under: Sus scrofa (pig)
Lineage: Eukaryota; Metazoa; Chordata; Mammalia; Artiodactyla; Suidae
Description: lncRNA (ENSSSCG00070006350.1)
Source: RNAcentral
CUUUGCCUUUCUGGCUUCCUUCGCUUAGUAUGAGGGUCUCUCGUUCCAGCCCCGCGGCGGCAGAUGGCACUCGUUCUGCCGCUUUUUCCUGGCUGUGUGCGAUGCCAUCGCAUGGAUGUCCCCGGGCCUUCGAAGUGCACUCACCUGUCAGUGGACCUUUAGGUGGCUUCCAGAUCUUGGCUCUGCCCCGCGGCGGCAGAUGGCACUCGUUCUGCCGCUUUUUCCUGGCUGUGUGCGAUGCCAUCGCAUAGAUGUCCCCGGGUCUGCGAAGUGCACUCACCUGUCAGUGGACCUUUAGGUGGCUUCCAGAUCUUGGCUCUGGUGAGUAGUGAGGCGACAGACAGAGGGUGCCCGGGUCUGCUUCCGGGAAAGUUUGGUCCCGGGAAAUGGAGCUGUUGGAGGCCGGCUUCGGUCUUUGUGUGGGCCG